UACGAAGGGGGCUAGCGUUGCUCGGAAUUACUGGGCGUAAAGGGCGCGUAGGCGGACAGUUUAGUCAGAGGUGAAAGCCCAGGGCUCAACCUUGGAAUUGCCUUUGAUACUGGCUGUCUUGAGUUCGGGAGAGGUGAGUGGAAUGCCGAGUGUAGAGGUGAAAUUCGUAGAUAUUCGGAAGAACACCAGUGGCGAAGGCGGCUCACUGGACUGGUAUUGACGCUGAGGUGCGAAAGCGUGGGGAGCAAACAGG
RNAcentral lists this ribosomal RNA (253 nucleotides) under uncultured bacterium. RNAcentral's name for it is "partial 16S ribosomal RNA". It matches the Rfam family "Bacterial small subunit ribosomal RNA", at positions 524 to 776 of the family's 1533-position model. The record is from RNAcentral.